CCUACGGGCGGCUGCAGUGGGGAAUAUUGGACAAUGGGGGCAACCCUGAUCCAGCCAUGCCGCGUGUGUGAAGAAGGCCCUCGGGUUGUAAAGCACUUUCAGUGAGGAAGAACGCCUGGUGGUUAAUACCCAUCAGGAAAGACAUCACUCACAGAAGAAGCACCGGCUAACUCCGUGCCAGCAGCCGCGGUAAUACGGAGGGUGCGAGCGUUAAUCGGAAUUACUGGGCGUAAAGCGCGCGUAGGUGGUUUGAUAAGCCGGUUGUGAAAGCCCCGGGCUCAACCUGGGAACGGCAUCCGGAACUGUCAAGCUAGAGUGCAGGAGAGGAAGGUAGAAUUCCCGGUGUAGCGGUGAAAUGCGUAGAGAUCGGGAGGAAUACCAGUGGCGAAGGCGGCCUUCUGGACUGACACUGACACUGAGGUGCGAAAGCGUGGGUAGCAAACAGGAUUAGAUACCCUUGUAGUC
RNAcentral lists this ribosomal RNA (465 nucleotides) under Vreelandella stevensii. RNAcentral's name for it is "partial 16S ribosomal RNA". It matches the Rfam family "Bacterial small subunit ribosomal RNA", at positions 338 to 795 of the family's 1533-position model. The record is from RNAcentral. Lineage: Bacteria; Pseudomonadati; Pseudomonadota; Gammaproteobacteria; Oceanospirillales; Halomonadaceae.